GUCAUUUGUUUUGGAACAGACUAAAAGGAAAAGUACCUCAUUUAAUAUGAAACGGAGGGAGUACUUGAUAGCUUAUUUCUUCUGUUGGUUAAAAUAGACUUGUAGGAAACAAUAAAUUCAAUGGCUUUAAUGGAGUAAUCUCUAUCCUUAAGUAACAUAAGCCCCCACUAUGUUGUUGCAUGAGUUUGUGGCAGAAUUCCUCUAGGAUUUACAUAGACAAAAUCGGAAUCCAAGUUCAGCAAUAACUUGAAUUUCCCCAGGAACAAGUUUUGAGUUUUACUGUUAUAGAAUCUUUUGGGAAGAAAUCAGGUAUUUAUAACACUUUUAGGAAUCUGCUAAAAGAUGUCUCUUAAAUCAGACAACUUUUUGACACACACUUCCAACUGUCACCUUUUAAAAUAAAGUUACCUUCUCUUCUAAUUCCAAUCGAUAACAUUAUCAACUUUGAUUUUCAGAUGUUCAGGUACAAAAUUAAACUCAGUGAUGCACGUAAAGCAUGGAUGAAGAAUCCUGAGGUGUUGCCCAACUGCUCAACGGGCUUCCAUUUGCCCCCUGAGCAUGAUGAUCUUUCCCAGGAAUACGUUUCACCACUCAAGUUGCUGCACUUUUAUCGUACUAAUGUUCCUAUCUGAGCCAAUAUUCUAAGAGUCACAUUGACAAGAGCAUUCACAACUAUGAUAUGUGUUUAAUGAGACUUUACAACUGUGAUAUGUGUAGAUUGAGACUUUACAACUGUGAUAUGUGUAGAAUUUAGUCCAAUUGUUGCUAAUCUUUUUCUGUAAAUGUAACAUGCCUGUUGAGACUACUGGUUGCUAAAGUAGUGUGUAUACAUUGUAGAGAUGAAUGUCUUACACGAGAAUAUCAAUGCAGCAGAUUAUUUUCCCAUAGAA
Molecule: non-coding RNA, 890 nt
Organism: Nicotiana tabacum (common tobacco)
Lineage: Eukaryota; Viridiplantae; Streptophyta; Magnoliopsida; Solanales; Solanaceae
Source: RefSeq, a predicted model, not a curated record